GACGAACGCUGGCGGCGUGCUUAACACAUGCAAGUCGAAUGAUGAAGCCGGAGCUUGCUCUGGUGAAUUAGUGGCGAACGGGUGAGUAACACGUGAGUAACCUGCCCUUGACUCUGGGAUAACUGCUAGAAAUGGUAGCUAAUACCGGAUACGACCCUCGGCGGCAUCGCCAGGGGGUGGAAAGAAUUUCGGUCAAGGAUGGACUCGCGGCCUAUCAGCUAGUUGGUGAGGUAACGGCUCACCAAGGCGACGACGGGUAGCCGGCCUGAGAGGGUGACCGGCCACACUGGGACUGAGACACGGCCCAGACUCCUACGGGAGGCAGCAGUGGGGAAUAUUGCACAAUGGGCGCAAGCCUGAUGCAGCGACGCCGCGUGAGGGAUGACGGCCUUCGGGUUGUAAACCUCUUUCAGCUAUGACGAAGCGCAAGUGACGGUAGUAGCAGAAGAAGGACCGGCCAACUACGUGCCAGCAGCCGCGGUAA
RNAcentral lists this ribosomal RNA (484 nucleotides) under uncultured bacterium. RNAcentral's name for it is "partial 16S ribosomal RNA". It matches the Rfam family "Bacterial small subunit ribosomal RNA", at positions 28 to 523 of the family's 1533-position model. The record is from RNAcentral.